CCUACGGGUGGCAGCAGUGAGGAAUAUUGGUCAAUGGGCGCGAGCCUGCACCAGCCAAGUAGCGUGAAGGAUGGCUGCCCUACGGGUUGUAAACUUCUUUUAUAAAGGAAUAAAGUGCGGCACGUGUGCCUUUUUGUAUGUACUUUAUGAAUAAGGAUCGGCUAACUCCGUGCCAGCAGCCGCGGUAAUACGGAGGAUUCGAGCGUUAUCCGGAUUUAUUGGGUUUAAAGGGAGCGUAGAUGGGUUGUUAAGUCAGUGGUGAAAGUUUGCGGCUCAACCAUAAAAUUGCAAUGGAUACUGGCAGUGUAGAGUACAGUUGAGGUAGGCGGAAUGCGUGGUGUAGCGGUGAAAUGCUUAGAGAUCACGAAGAACUCCGAGUGCGAAGGCAGCUUACUAAACUGCCACUGACAUUGAUGCUCGAAAGUGUGGGUAGCAAACAGGAUUAGAUACCCCAGUAGUC
RNAcentral lists this ribosomal RNA (460 nucleotides) under uncultured bacterium. RNAcentral describes it as "partial 16S ribosomal RNA". It matches the Rfam family "Bacterial small subunit ribosomal RNA", at positions 338 to 795 of the family's 1533-position model. The record is from RNAcentral.